This 981-nucleotide ribosomal RNA is filed under the name mixed sample. RNAcentral's name for it is "bacterial LSU rRNA". It matches the Rfam family "Bacterial large subunit ribosomal RNA", at positions 1950 to 2925 of the family's 2925-position model. The record is from RNAcentral.
CCUAAGGUAGCGAAAUUCCUUGUCGGGUAAGUUCCGACCUGCACGAAUGGCGUAACGAUGGCGGCGCUGUCUCCACCCGAGACUCAGUGAAAUUGAAAUCGCUGUGAAGAUGCAGUGUAUCCGCGGCUAGACGGAAAGACCCCGUGAACCUUUACUGUAGCUUUGCACUGGACUUUGAGCCUGCUUGUGUAGGAUAGGUGGGAGGCUUUGAAGCGUGGACGCCAGUUCGCGUGGAGCCAUCCUUGAAAUACCACCCUGGCAUGCUUGAGGUUCUAACUCUGGUCCGUAAUCCGGAUCGAGGACAGUGUAUGGUGGGCAGUUUGACUGGGGCGGUCUCCUCCUAAAGAGUAACGGAGGAGUACGAAGGUGCGCUCAGACCGGUCGGAAAUCGGUCGCAGAGUAUAAAGGCAAAAGCGCGCUUGACUGCGAGACAGACACGUCGAGCAGGUACGAAAGUAGGUCUUAGUGAUCCGGUGGUUCUGUAUGGAAGGGCCAUCGCUCAACGGAUAAAAGGUACUCCGGGGAUAACAGGCUGAUACCGCCCAAGAGUUCAUAUCGACGGCGGUGUUUGGCACCUCGAUGUCGGCUCAUCACAUCCUGGGGCUGAAGCCGGUCCCAAGGGUAUGGCUGUUCGCCAUUUAAAGUGGUACGCGAGCUGGGUUUAGAACGUCGUGAGACAGUUCGGUCCCUAUCUGCCGUGGACGUUUGAGAUUUGAGAGGGGCUGCUCCUAGUACGAGAGGACCGGAGUGGACGAACCUCUGGUGUUCCGGUUGUCACGCCAGUGGCAUUGCCGGGUAGCUAUGUUCGGAAAAGAUAACCGCUGAAAGCAUCUAAGCGGGAAACUUGCCUCAAGAUGAGAUCUCACUGGGAACUUGAUUCCCCUGAAGGGCCGUCGAAGACUACGACGUUGAUAGGCUGGGUGUGUAAGCGUUGUGAGGCGUUGAGCUAACCAGUACUAAUUGCCCGUGAGGCUUGACCAU